AGCGAACGCUGGCGGCAGGCUUAACACAUGCAAGUCGAACGGUCCUUCGGGAUAGUGGCGGACGGGUGAGUAACACGUGGGAACGUACCCUUAGGUUCGGAACAACACAGGGGAACUUGUGCUAAUACCGGAUAAGCCCUUCGGGGGAAAGAUUUAUCGCCUUUGGAGCGGCCCGUGUCUGAUUAGCUUGUUGGUGAGGUAAUGGCUCACCAAGGCUACGAUCAGUCUCUGGUCUGAGAGGAUGGCCAGCCACACUGGGACUGAGACCCGGCCCAGACUCCUACGGGAGGCAGCAGUGGGGAAUCUUGCGCAAUGGGCGAAAGCCUGACGCAGCCAUGCCGCGUGGAUGAUGAAGGUCUUAGGAUUGUAAAAUCCUUUCACCGGGGACGAUAAUGACGGUACCCGGAGAAGAAGCCCCGGCUAACUUCGUGCCAGCCGCCGCAGUAA
This 447-nucleotide ribosomal RNA is filed under the name uncultured bacterium. Its description in RNAcentral is "partial 16S ribosomal RNA". It matches the Rfam family "Bacterial small subunit ribosomal RNA", at positions 29 to 523 of the family's 1533-position model. The record is from RNAcentral.